AUACGAAGGUCCCGAGCGUUAUUCGGAAUCACUGGGCGUAAAGAGUAUGUAGGCGGUUUGGUAAGUCAGGUGUGAAAUCUCGGAGCUCAACUUCGGAACUGCAUCCGAUACUGCCAGACUAGAGUAAUGGAGAGGCAGGUGGAAUUCUCGGUGUAGCAGUGAAAUGCGUGGAUAUCGAGAGGAAGACCAAUGGCGAAGGCAGCCUGCUGGACAUUUACUGACGCUGAGAUACGAAGGCUAGGGGAGCGAAAGGGAUUAGAAACCCCAGUAGUCC
This 274-nucleotide ribosomal RNA is filed under the name uncultured bacterium. RNAcentral's name for it is "partial 16S ribosomal RNA". It matches the Rfam family "Bacterial small subunit ribosomal RNA", at positions 523 to 796 of the family's 1533-position model. The record is from RNAcentral.